UUUUGGGCAAAAUUAAAAGUAGUAGACUCAGACUUCAAUUUAAAUCUAUAUUUGAAUCAGAUGAUUAAACCAAACCAAUUUAUCAAAUUCUGUACAUAUAAACACCAUAUACCCAAAUCUAGUUAAAAUUUUCACCAAAUCCCACCACCUAAUUUCCUGCAGCUGAAUUCCCUUCUCCGCCACCAUCAAUUUUGGGAACUGAUCGGUGCAAUUGCUCGGAUGCAUCAAUCGAAAUUAUGCUAAAGUCAAUCCACAUGCUAUGCAUCCUUUCUGCGCGAUUCGCUACAACGCCGCACCACCGCCUCCUUCACCAGCCCCACUUACCCCCUAUGUUCCUCUCUGCGCGUCGGCGGUGCUCGGCCUCUUCGAGAAGGCGUAGCCCCUCCCGGAGCUUCUCUACACACACACACACGAGAUCAAUUAGGGUAAUAACUUUGUGAUUGAAAUCUGAGCUUGUGUUGUUGACUUGGGAAUAUGAGGAAGAGGUCGGAUCUGAGGGGAGUAGACAUGAGGGCGAUGAGUCAGGCAAGUUGGCGGUUCGCUAUCGCCUGACUGAGAACCGGAGGGGGGGGGGAGGGGGGCUUUGUGCCAUACUAUUGUCGGAGUCUAGAAAAGGAAAGGUCUGCAGUGAAUUAGGGACCUAGGGAUCAGCGGUGGCGGCCUUCUGCUCGUGCAGUCGCCGGAAAUAAAUAGUACAGAGGCUUGGAAAUUGGGCUUGGGGUUUUCAGACGGCGCAUCCGCCGCCGUUAGCUUUCCAAAGCGGGGAAGAUGAGAUAAAAGGUAGAGAGGGAGGCGGCGGUUGAGGCCUUGUUGCGGUCGCCGGAGAUGAGAGAGAGAGGACGAAACCGGAGGAAAGGGCGAAGGAGAUAGAAAUGGCGGCGAUGGCGGUGGAGAUUUGGAGAUGGCCGGACCGGAGAAGCCAUGGCUGCUGUGAAGAGAGUGAGACGCACACACAGUGGGUAGAAGAAAUGAGUUGGGGUUUAGGUUUCUAUAGUCCUUAAUUAAGUAACUGAUUUAAUUUUUUAAUUUUUUCUACCUAUUUUUUAAUUAUGAUAUUUUAUUUAUUGUAUUUUAUUUUAAUUAAUAUAAUGUAUAAAUUUAUUUUUAAUGAAAUAUUGAAUUUUAAAAUUGACG
Molecule: long non-coding RNA, 1134 nt
Filed under: Salvia miltiorrhiza (redroot sage)
Lineage: Eukaryota; Viridiplantae; Streptophyta; Magnoliopsida; Lamiales; Lamiaceae
Description: long non-coding RNA (SMIL_LNC010584)
Source: RNAcentral